RNAcentral lists this ribosomal RNA (497 nucleotides) under uncultured bacterium. RNAcentral describes it as "partial 16S ribosomal RNA". It matches the Rfam family "Bacterial small subunit ribosomal RNA", at positions 28 to 507 of the family's 1533-position model. The record is from RNAcentral.
GAUGAACGCUGGCGGCGUGCUUAAUACAUGCAAGUCGAGCGAACAGACGUGGUUCUUGCUCCUCUCACGUUAGCGACGGGCGGGUGAGUAACACGUGGAUAACCUACCUAUAAGACUGGGAUAACUUCGGGAAACCGGAGCUAGUACCGGAUAAUAUAUUGAACCGCAUGGUUCAAUAGUGAAAGACGGUUUUGCUGUCACUUAUAGAUGUAUCCGCGCCGCAUUAGAUAGUUGGUAAGGUAAGGGCUUACCAAGGCAACGAUGCGUAGCCGACCUGGGGGAGUGAUCGGCCACACUGGAACUGGGACAUGGUCCAGACUGGUACGGGAGGAAGCAGUAGGCAAUCUUCGGCAAUGGGCGAAAGGAUGACGGAGCAACGGCGCGUGAGUGAUGAGGGUAUUCGGAUCGGAAGGCACUGUGAUUAGGGGUGAACAACUGUGUAAGUCACUGUGCACGUCUUGACGGUAUCUAAUCAAAAAGCAACGGCUAACUACGUG